AUUGAACGCUGGCGGAAUGCUUUACACAUGCAAGUCGAGCGGCAGCGCGGGGGCAACCCUGGCGGCGAGCGGCGAACGGGUGAGUAACAUAUCGGAACGUACCCCGUCGUGGGGGAUAACACAGCGAAAGCUGUGCUAAUACCGCAUACGACCUGAGGGUGAAAGCGGGGGAUCGCAAGACCUCGCGCGAUGGGAGCGGCCGAUAUCGGAUUAGCUUGUUGGUGAGGUAAAGGCUCACCAAGGCGACGAUCCGUAGCUGGUCUGAGAGGACGACCAGCCACACUGGAACUGAGACACGGUCCAGACUCCUACGGGAGGCAGCAGUGGGGAAUUUUGGACAAUGGGGGCAACCCUGAUCCAGCCAUUCCGCGUGAGUGAAGAAGGCCUUCGGGUUG
RNAcentral lists this ribosomal RNA (395 nucleotides) under uncultured bacterium. RNAcentral describes it as "bacterial SSU rRNA". It matches the Rfam family "Bacterial small subunit ribosomal RNA", at positions 29 to 425 of the family's 1533-position model. The record is from RNAcentral.